Long non-coding RNA from Ictalurus punctatus (channel catfish), 938 nucleotides. RefSeq lists it as uncharacterized. The transcript is spliced from 6 exons. The record is from RefSeq and is a predicted model, not a curated record. Lineage: Eukaryota; Metazoa; Chordata; Actinopteri; Siluriformes; Ictaluridae.
AAUUAAAUUCUUAAAUUAUUUUGGGUGGGAAUUACACUGAACCUGGUUUAUUAAUGAACUCUGCAUUUUUAUCAUGUUAUUAAGUUGUAAAUAUGUCUUUAUUACAGGUUGUGCAGUUCAGACAUGUAGUUACACUCAUCUACCUGCAUAUUGUUAUUAGAAUUAUAUCAUAAUUAAUAUUUGUAUCUAUUCCUACUGUACAAUUGAUCUUCUGUAGUCACGCUGUUUAUUACACUGUAAUCAGUGCUGUGUAAAAUAAAGUGUUUCUGUUACCAUUUACACCCUGUUCAGAUGUAGAAUCUGUCUCCCUCUAUAGAAAAUCAGACAUCAGAGCAGAAUCAGAUCCGGUCAGGAGCUGAAGACUCUCAGUCAGGACACACACCACUUCAGGCUGGAAAAUGUUUAUGCCGCUGUGGAUCAGACAGAUACGAGUGGAACAGGUGAAGCUGCAGCUGAGAGCAGAGAAGUCACUUACGCACAGGUCACGAAGAAAAAGAAGACAAACAGGAACAAUGGUGCUGAUGCUGAACCCUGGGUUACCGAUGUGACUUAUGCUGAGAUUGAACUAAAACCAAUGAUAAAAACAAAGAGAAUGAAAGAAAAUGCCAGUGUGUGUGAUGAUACUGUCUACUCAGAGCUGAAGCACAGCAUGGGGUGAGACAUGUAUCUGUGUACAGUGAUGAAGCUACAGUUAUCACACAGACAGCUGGAAAACUGGGAUUUGUGUUUGUCUUCUGUUUUUCCUAAAAUGCUCAGAAAGUAGAAUCUGCUCAUCUACUUCCUGAAUACAGGAACAUUGCUUAUUAUUUUUUUUCUUUUACUGCUUUUCUAUUUCUACUCAUUCUGUUCAACGUGCACAAAUACAAUUAAUUUAAUAUACAUGUGGCUCAUUUGCGCAUUAAUAAUAAUAAUAAUAAUAAUAAUAAUAAUACAGUUAA